UCUCUCACAAUUUACCUCUGGAUAUUUUCAUGAUGCUUCUCCUAUCUCUUUGUCUUGCAAAUCAUAUCCCUGGGAAUAUACUACUUGUUAAGUUAGGAUCACAAGUUAACUGGCCAUCAUCAGUGGAUAUUAGAACUCUGCUUUGGCUCCAGAAUAGUACCCCAGUUGUCUUUUCAUCAGCUGCCGUGCUUUCCAAGGUCUCUCCAAACAGGCCAACAAGAGGAUCAUCCCAAGAAACAGAGAUGUCUGGGCAGGAGAUAUCUGGACAUUGGCUUCCUCCUCAAAUGCUUCUGCAGUUUUCUUUUCUCGAGACCAAUUUCAUCAGCACCCGAGGCCAAUCAGCAAGACUUGCCCAAUAGUGAAUAUUAUGAGUUUUUGGGUAACGAUUGACCAAUCUCAGCAGCCCCAUAAAGCACUUUUUUUAUCCCAUCGGCACCCUUAAUGUCAAACAGCGGCAAGCUUAUCAAAAGCCAGCUCUCUGUUUUGUAAAAUAUGUUCUCCAACUGAAACAUUGCUCUAUGUUGGACAUGUUUUGCUUUAGCAACUCCCCUGUUGGCUAUAAUAAAGCUUCACACAGGUCCAUUCUUACUUUGACCUAGUUAACUAACUUCAUUUGGGAAAGCUUUGUAAAGUCGGUAAACAUGACAUUAGUAGUUAACGACCAACUACCUUUAAGGUUGGUGCUGUAAUGUGUACGAUUAGCUUUUAGAAGCCGGGGGCUUAUGAA
Molecule: long non-coding RNA, 727 nt
Organism: Rosa chinensis
Lineage: Eukaryota; Viridiplantae; Streptophyta; Magnoliopsida; Rosales; Rosaceae
Exons: 2
Source: RefSeq, a predicted model, not a curated record